GUAAGGAUGGCCGAGCGGUCUAAGGCGCCAGACUCAAGUUUCAAAACUGGCUUCGCUAAUGCGCAGCCAAACGGCGUUCUGGUCCACUAAUGUGGGCGUGGGUUCGAAUCCCACUCCUGACA
RNAcentral lists this transfer RNA (122 nucleotides) under Paramuricea clavata. It matches the Rfam family "tRNA". From Rfam's summary of the family: Transfer RNA (tRNA) molecules are approximately 80 nucleotides in length. Their secondary structure includes four short double-helical elements and three loops (D, anti-codon, and T loops). The record is from Rfam by way of RNAcentral. Lineage: Eukaryota; Metazoa; Cnidaria; Anthozoa; Malacalcyonacea; Plexauridae.